Molecule: ribosomal RNA, 502 nt
Filed under: uncultured bacterium
Lineage: Bacteria
Description: partial 16S ribosomal RNA
Rfam family: Bacterial small subunit ribosomal RNA
Source: RNAcentral
GACGAACGCUGGCGGCGUGCUUAACACGUGCAAGUCGAACGGUGAAGGGGUCUGCUUUUGUGGGCCCUGGAUGAGUGGCGAACGGGUGAGUAACACGUGAGUAACCUGCCCCCUUCUUCUGGAUAACCGCAUGAAAGUGUGGCUAAUACGGGAUAUUCUGGGUCUGUCGCAUGAUGGGUCUGGGAAAGCUUGCGCCUUUGGGUGUUUUUGGUGGGGGAUGGGCUCGUGGGCUAUAAGCUCGUUGGGGGGGUGAUGGCCUAAGAAGGCGGUGACGGUUAGCGCGACAGAGAGAGUGGAAGGUCACAAUAGAACUGCGACACGAGAAAGAGUACUAGGGGAGGCAGCAGUGAGGAAUAUUGCAGAAUGGGCGAUAGCCUGAUGCAGCGACGGCGGAUGAGGGAUGGGGGCCUGCGGGUUGUAAACCUCUUUAGCAAGUGAGGCAGGCCUGCUCCUUGUGGGUGGGUUGACGGUAGCUGGAUAAGAAGCGCCGGCUAACUACGUG